GAUGAACGCUGGCGGCGUGCCUAAUACAUGCAAGUCGAGCGAACAGACGAGGAGCUUGCUCCUCUGACGUUAGCGGCGGACGGGUGAGUAACACGUGGAUAACCUACCUAUAAGACUGGGAUAACUUCGGGAAACCGGAGCUAAUACCGGAUAAUAUAUUGAACCGCAUGGUUCAAUAGUUAAAGACGGUUUUGCUGUCACUUAUAGAUGGAUCCGCGCCGCAUUAGCUAGUUGGUAAGGUAACGGCUUACCAAGGCAACGAUGCGUAGCCGACCUGAGAGGGGGAUCGGCCACACUGGAACUGAGACACGGUCCAGACUCCUACGGGAGGCAGCAGUAGGGAAUCUUCCGCAAUGGGCGAAAGCUUGACGGAGCAACGCCGCGUGAGUGAUGAAGGUCUUCGGAUCGUAAAACUCUGUUAUUAGGGAAGAACAAAUGUGUAAGUAACUAUGCACGUCUUGACGGUACCUAAUCAGAAAGCCACGGCUAACUACGU
RNAcentral lists this ribosomal RNA (496 nucleotides) under uncultured bacterium. RNAcentral's name for it is "partial 16S ribosomal RNA". It matches the Rfam family "Bacterial small subunit ribosomal RNA", at positions 28 to 506 of the family's 1533-position model. The record is from RNAcentral.